CAUGCAAGUCGAACGGUAACAGGAAGCAGCUUGCUGYUUCGCUGACGAGUGGCGGACGGGUGAGUAAUGUCUGGGAAACUGCCUGAUGGAGGGGGAUAACUACUGGAAACGGUAGCUAAUACCGCAUAACGUCGCAAGACCAAAGAGGGGGACCUUCGGGCCUCUUGCCAUCGGAUGUGCCCAGAUGGGAUUAGCUAGUAGGUGGGGUAACGGCUCACCUAGGCGACGAUCCCUAGCUGGUCUGAGAGGAUGACCAGCCACACUGGAACUGAGACACGGUCCAGACUCCUACGGGAGGCAGCAGUGGGGAAUAUUGCACAAUGGGCGCAAGCCUGAUGCAGCCAUGCCGCGUGUAUGAAGAAGGCCUUCGGGUUGUAAAGUACUUUCAGCGGGGAGGAAGGGAGUAAAGUUAAUACCUUUGCUCAUUGACGUUACCCGCAGAAGAAGCACCGGCUAACUCCGUGCCAGCAGCCGCGGUAAUACGGAGGGUGCAAGCGUUAAUCGGAAUUACUGGGCGUAAAGCGCACGCAGGCGGUUUGUUAAGUCAGAUGUGAAAUCCCCGGGCUCAACCUGGGAACUGCAUCUGAUACUGGCAAGCUUGAGUCUCGUAGAGGGGGGUAGAAUUCCAGGUGUAGCGGUGAAAUGCGUAGAGAUCUGGAGGAAUACCGGUGGCGAAGGCGGCCCCCUGGACGAAGACUGACGCUCAGGUGCGAAAGCGUGGGGAGCAAACAGGAUUAGAUACCCUGGUAGUCCACGCCGUAAACGAUGUCGACUUGGAGGUUGUGCCCUUGAGGCGUGGCUUCCGGAGCUAACGCGUUAAGUCGACCGCCUGGGGAGUACGGCCGCAAGGUUAAAACUCAAAUGAAUUGACGGGGGCCCGCACAAGCGGUGGAGCAUGUGGUUUAAUUCGAUGCAACGCGAAGAACCUUACCUGGUCUUGACAUCCACGGAAGUUUUCAGAGAUGAGAAUGUGCCUUCGGGAACCGUGAGACAGGUGCUGCAUGGCUGUCGUCAGCUCGUGUUGUGAAAUGUUGGGUUAAGUCCCGCAACGAGCGCAACCCUUAUCCUUUGUUGCCAGCGGUCCGGCCGGGAACUCAAAGGAGACUGCCAGUGAUAAACUGGAGGAA
Molecule: ribosomal RNA, 1127 nt
Filed under: Escherichia sp. ESBL488B15_13_4E
Lineage: Bacteria; Pseudomonadati; Pseudomonadota; Gammaproteobacteria; Enterobacterales; Enterobacteriaceae
Description: bacterial SSU rRNA
Rfam family: Bacterial small subunit ribosomal RNA
Source: RNAcentral